This 439-nucleotide ribosomal RNA is filed under the name uncultured bacterium. Its description in RNAcentral is "partial 16S ribosomal RNA". It matches the Rfam family "Bacterial small subunit ribosomal RNA", at positions 338 to 795 of the family's 1533-position model. The record is from RNAcentral.
CCUACGGGAGGCAGCAGUGGGGAAUAUUGCACAAUGGGGGAAACCCUGAUGCAGCGACGCCGCGUGAAGGACGAAGUAUUUCGGUACGUAAACUUCUAUCAGCAGGGAAGAAAAUGACGGUACCUGACCAAGAAGCCCCGGCUAACUACGUGCCAGCAGCCGCGGUAAUACGGAGGAUGCGAGCGUUAUCCGGAUUUAUUGGGUUUAAAGGGUGCGUAGGCGGGCAUUUAAGCCGGCGGUCAAAUGUCGGGGCUCAACCCCGGCCUGCCGUCGGAACUGGGUGCCUUGAGUGGGCGAGAAGUAUGCGGAAUGCGUGGUGUAGCGGUGAAAUGCAUAGAUAUCACGCAGAACCCCGAUUGCGAAGGCAGCAUACCGGCGCCCUACUGACGCUGAGGCACGAAAGUGCGGGUAUCGAACAGGAUUAGAUACCCGGGUAGUC